AAGGAACGCUAGCUAUAUGCUUGACACAUGCAAGUCGAACGUUGUUUUCAGGGAGCAGGGCAGAAAGAAAAAAGGCUCCUAGCUAAAGGUAGCUUGUCUCGCCCAGGAGGUGAGAACAGUUGAGAACAAAGUGGCGAACGGGUGCGUAAUGCGUGGGAAUCUGCCGAACAGUUCGGGCCAAAUCCUGUAGAAAGCUAAAAAGCGCUGUUUGAUGAGCCUGCGUAGUAUUAGGUAGUUGGUCAGGUAAAGACUGACCAAGCCAAUGGUGCUUAGCUAGUCUUUUCGGAUGAUCAGCCACACUAGGACUGAGACACGGCCCAGACUCCGACGGGGGGCAACAGUGGGGAAUCUUGGACAAUGGGCGAAAGCCCGAUCCAGCAAUAUCGCAUGAGUGAAGAAGGGUAAUGCCGCUUGUAAAGCUCUUUCGUUGAGUGCGCGAUCAUGACACGACUCGAGGAAGAAGCCCCGGCUAACUCCGUGCCAGCCGCCGCAGUAAAAC
RNAcentral lists this ribosomal RNA (499 nucleotides) under uncultured bacterium. RNAcentral describes it as "bacterial SSU rRNA". It matches the Rfam family "Bacterial small subunit ribosomal RNA", at positions 31 to 526 of the family's 1533-position model. The record is from RNAcentral.